RNAcentral lists this small RNA (122 nucleotides) under Marmota monax (woodchuck). Lineage: Eukaryota; Metazoa; Chordata; Mammalia; Rodentia; Sciuridae. The record is from RNAcentral.
GCCGGGUGUGGUGGCGCACACCUGUAAUCCCAGAGACUGAGGCUGAGGCAGAGGAUCCAGAGUUCAAAGCCUGCCUCAGCAAUGUAGUGAGGCACUUGCAACUAAAUGGGACCCUAUAUCUA